Long non-coding RNA from Tachysurus fulvidraco (yellow catfish), 698 nucleotides. RefSeq lists it as uncharacterized. Lineage: Eukaryota; Metazoa; Chordata; Actinopteri; Siluriformes; Bagridae. The record is from RefSeq and is a predicted model, not a curated record. The transcript is spliced from 3 exons.
UGGUCCUCACCGGUGCAGUUUCUGUGAAGUUUCUGGGAUCAGCUGCUUUUGGACGAGGGGAGGGUCAGAUGUGGACAGAGGAGCUUCAGUGUAGAGGAAACGAAUCUGAGAUUAGCUUCUGUCCAUCAUCAUCUUCACUCAAACACUCAACCUGUUCCCAUGACAACGAUGUGGGAUUAAUAAGUUCUGGUCACACAGAGGCUCGGCUGGUGAACGGACCGGACUCCUGUUCUGGUCGAGUGGAGCUCCUGUACCGCGGUGUGUGGGGCACAGUUUGUGCUGUAAGCUGGGAUAUGAGAGCUGCAGAUGUUCUGUGUGCACAGCUGGGUUGUGGGAGUGCUGUGGCUGUGGUGGAGGUGGACUGGUUUGGGGAGGGGAAGUGACCACAUCUGGGCUGAUGUGUUUGAUUGUCAGGAGAAGGAGACACACCUAUCACAAUGUGGCGUCUCAUCAUGGAGUCGAGCUGCGUGCUCUCAUAAACAUGACGCUGGAGUCAUCUGUAAUGGAUCCUCUGUGGCACUUCAUGAGGGGCGAGUGCGGUUGUCUGGAGGGAGCGAGUGUCAGGGGGAGGUGGAGAUUUAUUUCAGGCAGGACUGGAGGAGAGUUCUCCUGGACUAAUGGAGUCUGUCUGAGGCGUCUGUGCUCUGCAGACAGCUGGGCUGUGGCUCUGUGCUGAACUACCGCUCCUCUCCAUCCAC